GUGGUAGCUGGCUAGUAACAGUCACUAAGGUUCAGGGCAGGGUACUGGGUGGAGGCAGGCUAGUAACAGUCACUAAGGUUCAGGGCAGGGUACUGGGUGGAGGCUGGCUAGUAACAGUCACUAAGGUUCAGGGCAGGGUACUGGGUGGAGGCCGGCUAGUAACAGUCACUAAGGUUCAGGGCAGGGUACUGGGUGGAGGCAGGCUAGUAACAGUCACUAAGGUUCAGGGCAGGGUACUGGGUGGAGGCUGGCUAGUAACAGUCACUAAGGUUCAGGGCAGGGUACUGGGUGGAGGCAGGCUAGUAACAGUCACUAAGGUUCAGGGCAGGGUACUGGGUGGAGGCUGGCUAGUAACAGUGACUAAGGUUCAGGGCAGGGUACUGGGUGGAGGCAGGCUAGUAACAGU
Molecule: long non-coding RNA, 406 nt
Filed under: Salmo salar (Atlantic salmon)
Lineage: Eukaryota; Metazoa; Chordata; Actinopteri; Salmoniformes; Salmonidae
Description: lncRNA (ENSSSAG00000106160.1)
Source: RNAcentral